Molecule: transfer RNA, 72 nt
Filed under: Ornithorhynchus anatinus (platypus)
Lineage: Eukaryota; Metazoa; Chordata; Mammalia; Monotremata; Ornithorhynchidae
Rfam family: tRNA
About the family: Transfer RNA (tRNA) molecules are approximately 80 nucleotides in length. Their secondary structure includes four short double-helical elements and three loops (D, anti-codon, and T loops).
Source: Rfam by way of RNAcentral
AGCAGCGUAGCUCAGUGGAAAGAGCAUGGGCUUGUGAGUCAGAGGUCAUGGGUUCAAAUCCCAGCUCUGCCA